GGAGCUUGCUCCCUGAUGUUAGCGGCGGACGGGUGAGUAACACGUGGGUAACCUGCCUGUAAGACUGGGAUAACUCCGGGAAACCGGGGCUAAUACCGGAUGGUUGUCUGAACCGCAUGGUUCAGACAUAAAAGGUGGCUUCGGCUACCACUUACAGAUGGACCCGCGGCGCAUUAGCUAGUUGGUGAGGUAACGGCUCACCAAGGCGACGAUGCGUAGCCGACCUGAGAGGGUGAUCGGCCACACUGGGACUGAGACACGGCCCAGACUCCUACGGGAGGCAGCAGUAGGGAAUCUUCCGCAAUGGACGAAAGUCUGACGGAGCAACGCCGCGUGAGUGAUGAAGGUUUUCGGAUCGUAAAGCUCUGUUGUUAGGGAAGAACAAGUGCCGUUCAAAUAGGGCGGCACCUUGACGGUACCUAACCAGAAAGCCACGGCUAACUACGUGCCAGCAGCCGCGGUAAUACGUAGGUGGCAAGCGUUGUCCGGAAUUAUUGGGCGUAAAGGGCUCGCAGGCGGUUUCUUAAGUCUGAUGUGAAAGCCCCCGGCUCAACCGGGGAGGGUCAUUGGAAACUGGGGAACUUGAGUGCAGAAGAGGAGAGUGGAAUUCCACGUGUAGCGGUGAAAUGCGUAGAGAUGUGGAGGAACACCAGUGGCGAAGGCGACUCUCUGGUCUGUAACUGACGCUGAGGAGCGAAAGCGUGGGGAGCGAACAGGAUUAGAUACCCUGGUAGUCCACGCCGUAAACGAUGAGUGCUAAGUGUUAGGGGGUUUCCGCCCCUUAGUGCUGCAGCUAACGCAUUAAGCACUCCGCCUG
This 817-nucleotide ribosomal RNA is filed under the name Bacillus sp. (in: firmicutes). RNAcentral's name for it is "bacterial SSU rRNA". It matches the Rfam family "Bacterial small subunit ribosomal RNA", at positions 75 to 875 of the family's 1533-position model. The record is from RNAcentral. Lineage: Bacteria; Bacillati; Bacillota; Bacilli; Caryophanales; Bacillaceae.